GCGGAUUUAAGUCAAUGGUAGACAAUUUCUCUUCCAAAGAAAAAGUGUUUGUUCGAAUCAAACAAUCCGUA
This 71-nucleotide transfer RNA is filed under the name Komagataella phaffii CBS 7435. RNAcentral's name for it is "partial tRNA-Gly". It matches the Rfam family "tRNA". From Rfam's summary of the family: Transfer RNA (tRNA) molecules are approximately 80 nucleotides in length. Their secondary structure includes four short double-helical elements and three loops (D, anti-codon, and T loops). Lineage: Eukaryota; Fungi; Ascomycota; Pichiomycetes; Pichiales; Pichiaceae. The record is from RNAcentral.